Neofelis nebulosa (Clouded leopard) is the source of this 958-nucleotide long non-coding RNA. RefSeq lists it as uncharacterized. NCBI's taxonomy places the organism in Eukaryota, Metazoa, Chordata, Mammalia, Carnivora, Felidae. The record is from RefSeq and is a predicted model, not a curated record. The transcript is spliced from 3 exons.
UACAGCCUACCCUCAUGACCUCAUCUUAACUUGAUUAAAUGGACAAAGACACUAGUUCCAAAUAAGGUCAUAUUCACAGGCACAGGGGGUUAGGAUUUUCAAUAGAUGUGUUUGGGGACACAAUUCAACCCAAACUAGAUGCUAUCAGAAAAAUGAAGGAGGAAAAUUCAUUAUGACAUGUGUGUAGGUGGGGAAUAGGGAUCAGAUGCAUUUAAGUAGAGUAGCCAAAAUAAGUCUCAAUGAAAGGAAGUAUUUGCAUAAAGAUCUGAAGACAAGGGAGCCAGCCUGUGGAUGGUCGCACAAGAGCAUAUGCAAAGACUCUGUGGAAUAUACCAGACGUGUUCAAAGAAAAGCAAGGAGGCCAGCAUGGCUGGUGCAGAUGAACAAGGGGUAAAGUGGUAGGAGAUGAGUUCUGAGAAGUUAUAAAGGAGCCAGAUCAUAUGCAGACUUUGGGUUUUAUUCCAAGUAAUGUCGGAUACCCUUGGAAGAUUUUGAUCAGAAGAUAACAUGAUCUGGCUUCUAUCUUAACAGGACCUUUCCGGCCACUGUUAAAAAUAUAUAGUGGAAGAGAAUGGAAGCAGGGAUUCAGCUUAUAAGGCUUUUGAAAUAAUUCUGGUGAGAGAUGAUGAUGGAUUGGCAGUGGAGAUGAUCAUCAACCUAGAAGAGAAACCGUGAAAGGAUGGAGGGAAAUCUGGGCACUGUUUGGGCUCUGUGUUCAGAGACAAGGUACUUCCUACAGUUGGGCUGCAGCAGUUUUUAGAAGAUGACUAGAGCUCUAACAAGAACACCGAGCUUUGUCAAAGACACCGUCUGGAAGAGAACAUUCUCGCUUUCAUGAAGAGCUCUGUUUCAGCACAAGAUUACAUAUACAUGUUAAAAGGUUCUAUCAGCUAGCCUGGGCAGGCAGAGUUUCUCUUGCUGUACUAAACUUACCUCUCGCGGUGCCAGCCUCACUAAC